RNAcentral lists this ribosomal RNA (253 nucleotides) under uncultured bacterium. Its description in RNAcentral is "partial 16S ribosomal RNA". It matches the Rfam family "Bacterial small subunit ribosomal RNA", at positions 524 to 776 of the family's 1533-position model. The record is from RNAcentral.
UACGAAGGGUGCAAACGUUGCUCGGAAUUACUGGGCGUAAAGGGUUUGUAGGUGGCCUGCUAAGUCAGACGUGAAAUCCCUCAGCUUAACUGGGGAACUGCGUCUGAUACUGGCGGGCUUGAGGACAGGAGAGGAACGCGGAAUUCCAGGUGUAGCGGUGAAAUGCGUAGAUAUCUGGAGGAACACCGGUGGCGAAGGCGGCGUUCUGGACUGUUUCUGACACUGAAAAACGAAAGCCAGGGGAGCAAACGGG